CAUCAUCACACUUGCAACACAGCUACAUUUGGAAUACAAGACAACAAACAGGCUGAAUGGCUGCCUCUCUAUUAAGCCCAUCUUAGUUCUGAAAGAUGAGCAUGCUCCAGGUUUGAUACUGGAAUCUGCUUUCAGGACAUCUGUGACCUGCUGAAAUGGCUUCCUGAGAUAAAGGCUAGAGAGGCUUCUCUAAGGACCUGCUGCAUUUGGAGUGGAGGUUCAAACUUCUUUAGUAAGGAGGACUCAGCUUUCUUCCCUCCAGAGUAUGUGGCAUCAGGUGUCAUCUUCAAGCAGAGUACAGACAUUACAGACAUCACUGGACAAUUGAACCCACUGGAACCCUGACCUUGAGACAUGCAGCCUUCAGAACUUGACAAAUACACUUUUGUUCUAUAUAGAUAUCCAGUCUGUGCUAUAUAUUAGAGGAUGGAAUGGAGUAAGAUGAUGUGAAGAUGCAGACCCUAUGCUAUUGGUAGGAAAGCAGACCAGUGCUGUCAUGGAAAAUACUGAGAAUGCCCCUCAAAACAUGAAGAUACAUCUACCAUUGAUGCAGAAACUGACUGCUGUUUCUCUACCUGACCAAAUCAGGCUCCAACACUAGGAUCUACUGGUCCAGGAACCACCUGGCCAAUUGCAACAUCACCACGAUGUGGGUUGGUGGCCCAUUGCACAGUGCUACUGAAAUGACAAGUUCAGCAAAGACACCAAUACUGUGUAAAGGUAUCAUUGGCACUACAUAAAGCCAAGCCAGACUUGGAGGAAAAGAAGUCAAGACAGAAGUUAUGAACAAAGACACAUGUGGAUAACAUCUUACUGAAUAUGGACUUAGCAAUAAUAGAAUAUUUAUUAUUAUUAUUUAGUCAAUUUGAUGAUUAUGAGCAUUUUAUUACUUUUCAUAAUGAUAUCACUUUCCCAGGAUUAGUGAAGUAUACAUUUUUUUGUAGGAAAGAAAGCUGUGAAUGCUGUGGAUGUAGAAACACAUAUGUCUUUAUAAGUUCUAGUCUCAGAGUGUAGUAAAGGUUGACAUGAUGUCAUCAUGAAGUUCUUACAAAUGUUUCUCAUAACUUAGAAAUUUCUGAAUCUGUUAUUUAUUGCAAUUUUUCAAAGCUGAUCUAAACUCUUCAUCUGAAUGAAAAGCUGUGA
RNAcentral lists this long non-coding RNA (1143 nucleotides) under Cricetulus griseus (Chinese hamster). Its description in RNAcentral is "lncRNA (ENSCGRG00015033754.1)". Lineage: Eukaryota; Metazoa; Chordata; Mammalia; Rodentia; Cricetidae. The record is from RNAcentral.